This 1967-nucleotide ribosomal RNA is filed under the name Staphylococcus aureus. Its description in RNAcentral is "partial 23S ribosomal RNA". It matches the Rfam family "Bacterial large subunit ribosomal RNA", at positions 439 to 2410 of the family's 2925-position model. Lineage: Bacteria; Bacillati; Bacillota; Bacilli; Caryophanales; Staphylococcaceae. The record is from RNAcentral.
GGAAUCUGGGAGGACCAUCUCCUAAGGCUAAAUACUCUCUAGUGACCGAUAGUGAACCAGUACCGUGAGGGAAAGGUGAAAAGCACCCCGGAAGGGGAGUGAAAUAGAACCUGAAACCGUGUGCUUACAAGUAGUCAGAGCCCGUUAAUGGGUGAUGGCGUGCCUUUUGUAGAAUGAACCGGCGAGUUACGAUUUGAUGCAAGGUUAAGCAGUAAAUGUGGAGCCGUAGCGAAAGCGAGUCUGAAUAGGGCGUUUAGUAUUUGGUCGUAGACCCGAAACCAGGUGAUCUACCCUUGGUCAGGUUGAAGUUCAGGUAACACUGAAUGGAGGACCGAACCGACUUACGUUGAAAAGUGAGCGGAUGAACUGAGGGUAGCGGAGAAAUUCCAAUCGAACCUGGAGAUAGCUGGUUCUCUCCGAAAUAGCUUUAGGGCUAGCCUCAAGUGAUGAUUAUUGGAGGUAGAGCACUGUUUGGACGAGGGGCCCCUCUCGGGUUACCGAAUUCAGACAAACUCCGAAUGCCAAUUAAUUUAACUUGGGAGUCAGAACAUGGGUGAUAAGGUCCGUGUUCGAAAGGGAAACAGCCCAGACCACCAGCUAAGGUCCCAAAAUAUAUGUUAAGUGGAAAAGGAUGUGGCGUUGCCCAGACAACUAGGAUGUUGGCUUAGAAGCAGCCAUCAUUUAAAGAGUGCGUAAUAGCUCACUAGUCGAGUGACACUGCGCCGAAAAUGUACCGGGGCUAAACAUAUUACCGAAGCUGUGGAUUGUCCUUUGGACAAUGGUAGGAGAGCGUUCUAAGGGCGUUGAAGCAUGAUCGUAAGGACAUGUGGAGCGCUUAGAAGUGAGAAUGCCGGUGUGAGUAGCGAAAGACGGGUGAGAAUCCCGUCCACCGAUUGACUAAGGUUUCCAGAGGAAGGCUCGUCCGCUCUGGGUUAGUCGGGUCCUAAGCUGAGGCCGACAGGCGUAGGCGAUGGAUAACAGGUUGAUAUUCCUGUACCACCUAUAAUCGUUUUAAUCGAUGGGGGGACGCAGUAGGAUAGGCGAAGCGUGCGAUUGGAUUGCACGUCUAAGCAGUAAGGCUGAGUAUUAGGCAAAUCCGGUACUCGUUGAGGCUGAGCUGUGAUGGGGAGAAGACAUUGUGUCUUCGAGUCGUUGAUUUCACACUGCCGAGAAAAGCCUCUAGAUAGAAAAUAGGUGCCCGUACCGCAAACCGACACAGGUAGUCAAGAUGAGAAUUCUAAGGUGAGCGAGCGAACUCUCGUUAAGGAACUCGGCAAAAUGACCCCGUAACUUCGGGAGAAGGGGUGCUCUUUAGGGUUAACGCCCAGAAGAGCCGCAGUGAAUAGGCCCAAGCGACUGUUUAUCAAAAACACAGGUCUCUGCUAAACCGUAAGGUGAUGUAUAGGGGCUGACGCCUGCCCGGUGCUGGAAGGUUAAGAGGAGUGGUUAGCUUCUGCGAAGCUACGAAUCGAAGCCCCAGUAAACGGCGGCCGUAACUAUAACGGUCCUAAGGUAGCGAAAUUCCUUGUCGGGUAAGUUCCGACCCGCACGAAAGGCGUAACGAUUUGGGCACUGUCUCAACGAGAGACUCGGUGAAAUCAUAGUACCUGUGAAGAUGCAGGUUACCCGCGACAGGACGGAAAGACCCCGUGGAGCUUUACUGUAGCCUGAUAUUGAAAUUCGGCACAGCUUGUACAGGAUAGGUAGGAGCCUUUGAAACGUGAGCGCUAGCUUACGUGGAGGCGCUGGUGGGAUACUACCCUAGCUGUGUUGGCUUUCUAACCCGCACCACUUAUCGUGGUGGGAGACAGUGUCAGGCGGGCAGUUUGACUGGGGCGGUCGCCUCCUAAAAGGUAACGGAGGCGCUCAAAGGUUCCCUCAGAAUGGUUGGAAAUCAUUCAUAGAGUGUAAAGGCAUAAGGGAGCUUGACUGCGAGACCUACAAGUCGAGCAGGGUCGAAAGACGGA